Molecule: ribosomal RNA, 505 nt
Filed under: uncultured bacterium
Lineage: Bacteria
Description: partial 16S ribosomal RNA
Rfam family: Bacterial small subunit ribosomal RNA
Source: RNAcentral
GACGAACGCUGGCGGCGUGCCUAAUACAUGCAAGUAGAACGCACAGUUUAUACCGUAGCUUGCUACACCAUAGACUGUGAGUUGCGAACGGGUGAGUAACGCGUAGGUAACCUGCCUGGUAGCGGGGGAUAACUAUUGGAAACGAUAGCUAAUACCGCAUAAUAUUAAUUAUUGCAUGAUAAUUAAUUGAAAGGUGCAAUUGCACCACUACCAGAUGGACCUGCGUUGUAUUAGCUAGUAGGUGAGGUAACGGCUCACCUAGGCGAGGAUAUAUAGCCGACCUGCGAGGGCGGUCGGCCACACUGGGACGGAGACACGGCCCAGAGGCCUUCGGGAGGCAGCAGUAGGGAAUCUGCGGCAAUGGACGAAAGUCUGACCGAGCAACGCCGCGUGAGUGAAGAAGGUCGUCGGAUCGUAAAGGUCUGUUGUAAGAGAAGAACGGGUGUGAGAGUGUAAAGUUCACACUGUGACGGUAUCUUACAAGAAAGGGACGGCUAACUACGUG